GACGAACGCUGGCGGCGUGCCUAAUACAUGCAAGUAGAACGCUGAAGAGAGGAGCUUGCUCUUCUUGGAUGAGUUGCGAACGGGUGAGUAACGCGUAGGUAACCUGCCUUGUAGCGGGGGAUAACUAUUGGAAACGAUAGCUAAUACCGCAUAACAAUGGAUGACACAUGUCAUUUAUUUGAAAGGGGCAAUUGCUCCACUACAAGAUGGACCUGCGUUGUAUUAGCUAGUAGGUGAGGUAACGGCUCACCUAGGCGACGAUACAUAGCCGACCUGAGAGGAUGAUCGGCCACACUGGGACUGAGACACGGCCCAGACUCCUACGGGAGGCAGCAGUAGGGAAUCUUCGGCAAUGGGGGCAACCCUGACCGAGCAACGCCGCGUGAGUGAAGAAGGUUUUCGGAUCGUAAAGCUCUGUUGUAAGUCAAGAACGAGUGUGAGAGUGGAAAGUUCACACUGUGACGGUAGCUUACCAGAAAGGGACGGCUAACUACGUGCCAGCAGCCGCGGUAAUACGUAGGUCCCGAGCGUUGUCCGGAUUUAUUGGGCGUAAAGCGAGCGCAGGCGGUUUGAUAAGUCUGAAGUUAAAGGCUGUGGCUCAACCAUAGUUCGCUUUGGAAACUGUCAAACUUGAGUGCAGAAGGGGAGAGUGGAAUUCCAUGUGUAGCGGUGAAAUGCGUAGAUAUAUGGAGGAACACCGGUGGCGAAAGCGGCUCUCUGGUCUGUAACUGACGCUGAGGCUCGAAAGCGUGGGGAGCGAACAGGAUUAGAUACCCUGGUAGUCCACGCCGUAAACGAUGAGUGCUAGGUGUUGGAUCCUUUCCGGGAUUCAGUGCCGCAGCUAACGCAUUAAGCACUCCGCCUGGGGAGUACGACCGCAAGGUUGAAACUCAAAGGAAUUGACGGGGGCCCGCACAAGCGGUGGAGCAUGUGGUUUAAUUCGAAGCAACGCGAAGAACCUUACCAGGUCUUGACAUCCCGAUGCUAUUUCUAGAGAUAGAAAGUUACUUCGGUACAUCGGUGACAGGUGGUGCAUGGUUGUCGUCAGCUCGUGUCGUGAGAUGUUGGGUUAAGUCCCGCAACGAGCGCAACCCCUAUUGUUAGUUGCCAUCAUUCAGUUGGGCACUCUAGCGAGACUGCCGGUAAUAAACCGGAGGAAGGUGGGGAUGACGUCAAAUCAUCAUGCCCCUUAUGACCUGGGCUACACACGUGCUACAAUGGUUGGUACAACGAGUUGCGAGUCGGUGACGGCAAGCUAAUCUCUUAAAGCCAAUCUCAGUUCGGAUUGUAGGCUGCAACUCGCCUACAUGAAGUCGGAAUCGCUAGUAAUCGCGGAUCAGCACGCCGCGGUGAAUACGUUCCCGGGCCU
This 1369-nucleotide ribosomal RNA is filed under the name uncultured bacterium. RNAcentral's name for it is "bacterial SSU rRNA". It matches the Rfam family "Bacterial small subunit ribosomal RNA", at positions 28 to 1381 of the family's 1533-position model. The record is from RNAcentral.